This 494-nucleotide ribosomal RNA is filed under the name uncultured bacterium. RNAcentral describes it as "partial 16S ribosomal RNA". It matches the Rfam family "Bacterial small subunit ribosomal RNA", at positions 28 to 507 of the family's 1533-position model. The record is from RNAcentral.
GACGAACGCUGGCGGCGCGCUUAACACAUGCAAGUCGAACGGAAAGGCCUGCUUUCCCUUGUGGAUUGCGGGUACUCGAGUGGCGAACGGGUGAGUAACACGUGAGUGAUCUGCCCCCAACUUGGGUAUAAGCCUGGGAAACUGGGUCUAAUUCCCGAUAGGACUGCAGGGUGGUGCCUGUGGUGGAAAACGAUUUUCUAGUGGUUGGGGAUGAGCUCGCGGCCUAUCAGCUUGUUGGUGGGGUAAUGGCCUACCAAGGCGGCGACGGGUAGCCGGCCUGAGAGGGUGGACGGCCACAUUGGGACUGAGAGACGGCCCAGACUCCUACGGGAGGCAGCAGUGGGGAAGAUUGCACAAUGGGCGGAAGCCUGAUGCAGCGACGCCGCGUGGGGGAUGACGGCCUUCGGGUUGUAAACUCCUUUCGACCGCGAGGAAGCCACCUGGUUGGAAGGGUGGUGACGGUAGUGGUAGAAGAAGCACCGGCUAACUACGUG